RNAcentral lists this ribosomal RNA (372 nucleotides) under uncultured archaeon. RNAcentral describes it as "bacterial SSU rRNA". It matches the Rfam family "Archaeal small subunit ribosomal RNA", at positions 684 to 1055 of the family's 1478-position model. The record is from RNAcentral.
UACGGACCUGACGGCAAGGGACGAAAGCUAGGGGCACGAACCGGAUUAGAUACCCGGGUAGUCCUAGCCGUAAACGAUACUCGCUAGGUGUCGGCCACGGUGCGACCGUUGUCGGUGCCGUAGGGAAGCCGUGAAGCGAGCCACCUGGGAAGUACGGCCGCAAGGCUGAAACUUAAAGGAAUUGGCGGGGGAGCACCACAACGGGUGGAGCUUGCGGUUUAAUUGGAUUCAACGCCGGAAAUCUUACCGGGACCGACAGCAAUAUGAAGGCCAGGCUGAAGACUUUGCCGGAUUAGCUGAGAGGUGGUGCAUGGCCGUCGUCAGUUCGUACUGUGAAGCAUCCUGUUAAGUCAGGCAACGAGCGAGACCCAA